AGAUACCAGCUGGCUGCAACUGUUUAUUAAAAACACAGCACUGUGCAAACACGAAAGUGGACGUAUACGGUGUGACGCCUGCCCGGUGCCGGAAGGUUAAUUGAUGGGGUUAUCCGUAAGGAGAAGCUCUUGAUCGAAGCCCCGGUAAACGGCGGCCGUAACUAUAACGGUCCUAAGGUAGCGAAAUUCCUUGUCGGGUAAGUUCCGACCUGCACGAAUGGCGUAAUGAUGGCCAGGCUGUCUCCACCCGAGACUCAGUGAAAUUGAACUCGCUGUGAAGAUGCAGUGUACCCGCGGCAAGACGGAAAGACCCCGUGAACCUUUACUAUAGCUUGACACUGAACACUGGUCCUUGAUGUGUAGGAUAGGUGGGAGGCUUUGAAGUGUGGACGCCAGUCUGCAUGGAGCCAUCCUUGAAAUACCACCCUUUAAUGGCUGGUGUUCUAACGUAGACCCGUAAUCCGGGUUGCGGACAGUGUCUGGUGGGUAGUUUGACUGGGGCGGUCUCCUCCUAAAGAGUAACGGAGGAGCACGAAGGUUAGCUAAUCCUGGUCGGACAUCAGGAGGUUAGUGCAAAGGCAUAAGCUAGCUUGACUGCGAGAGUGACGGCUCGAGCAGGUGCGAAAGCAGGUCUUAGUGAUCCGGUGGUUCUGAAUGGAAGGGCCAUCGCUCAACGGAUAAAAGGUACUCCGGGGAUAACAGGCUGAUACCGCCCAAGAGUUCAUAUCGACGGCGGUGUUUGGCACCUCGAUGUCGGCUCAUCACAUCCUGGGGCUGAAGUAGGUCCCAAGGGUAUGGCUGUUCGCCAUUUAAAGUGGUACGCGAGCUGGGUUUAGAACGUCGUGAGACAGUUCGGUCCCUAUCUGCCGUGGGCGCUGGAGAAUUGAGGGGGGCUGCUCCUAGUACGAGAGGACCGGAGUGGACGCAUCACUGGUGUUCGGGUUGUCAUGCCAAUGGCAUUGCCCGGUAGCUAAAUGCGGAAGAGAUAAGUGCUGAAAGCAUCUAAGCACGAAACUUGCCCCGAGAUGAGUUCUCCCUGACCCUUUAAGGGUCCUGAAGGAACGUUGAAGACGACGACGUUGAUAGGUCGGGUGUGUAAGUGUAGCGAUACAUUGAGCUAACCGAUACUAAUGAACCGUGAGGCUUAACCUUACAA
RNAcentral lists this ribosomal RNA (1156 nucleotides) under Citrobacter freundii. Its description in RNAcentral is "partial 23S ribosomal RNA". It matches the Rfam family "Bacterial large subunit ribosomal RNA", at positions 1781 to 2925 of the family's 2925-position model. Lineage: Bacteria; Pseudomonadati; Pseudomonadota; Gammaproteobacteria; Enterobacterales; Enterobacteriaceae. The record is from RNAcentral.